GCAGUGGUGGUUCGGUGGUAGAAUUCUUGCCUUCCAUCCAGGAGACCCAGGUUGGAUUCCUGGCCACUGGA
RNAcentral lists this transfer RNA (71 nucleotides) under Loxodonta africana (African savanna elephant). It matches the Rfam family "tRNA". From Rfam's summary of the family: Transfer RNA (tRNA) molecules are approximately 80 nucleotides in length. Lineage: Eukaryota; Metazoa; Chordata; Mammalia; Proboscidea; Elephantidae. The record is from Rfam by way of RNAcentral.